This 287-nucleotide long non-coding RNA is filed under the name Medicago truncatula (barrel medic). Its description in RNAcentral is "long non-coding RNA (MTRU_LNC008803)". Lineage: Eukaryota; Viridiplantae; Streptophyta; Magnoliopsida; Fabales; Fabaceae. The record is from RNAcentral.
CAGAUGAAGAAGAAGGAGGAUACCCAGAUGAAGAUGGAGGGUACCCAGAUGAAGAAACUUGUGAGGGAGGGUAAUUAUGAGGGUGGUUGUAGUUUGAAGAAGGAGGUGGAGGUUGGGUGUAGUUGUUGUAAGAUGGAGGUGGGGGUUGGGUGUAGUUAGUAUUUUGGGAGGUGUAGUUAGAAGGUGGUGGUAAUUCAGGUGCAGAUGGAGCGUAUGAUUGAGGAGAAUUGUAUCUGCCGUAGGAAGACAUUGAUUUGAUUGAUGGUGUUGUUGAAAAUUGAAAGAGG